UACGGAGGGGGUUAGCGUUGUUCGGAAUGACUGGGCGUAAAGCGCGCGUAGGCGGAUCGUUAAGUCAGAGGUGAAAUCCUGGAGCUCAACUCCAGAACUGCCUUUGAUACUGAAAGUCUUGAGUAUGGGAGAGGUGAGUGGAACUGCGAGUGUAGAGGUGAAAUUCGUAGAUAUUCGCAAGAACACCAGUGGCGAAGGCGGCUCACUGGCCCAUAACUGACGCUGAGGCACGAAAGCGUGGGGAGCAAACAGG
Molecule: ribosomal RNA, 253 nt
Filed under: uncultured bacterium
Lineage: Bacteria
Description: partial 16S ribosomal RNA
Rfam family: Bacterial small subunit ribosomal RNA
Source: RNAcentral